UACGUAGGUGGCAAGCGUUGUCCGGAUUUAUUGGGUUUAAAGGGUGCGUAGGCGGCUUUGUAAGUCAGUGGUGAAAUAUGGCAGCUCCACUGUCAAGGUGCCAUUGAUACUGCGGAGCUUGAGUACAGAUGAGGUAGGCGGAAUUGACGGUGUAGCGGUGAAAUGCUUAGAUAUCGUCAAGAACACCUAUAGCGAAGGCAGCUUACUAGGCUGUAACUGACGCUGAGGCACGAAAGUGUGGGGAUCAAACAGG
This 253-nucleotide ribosomal RNA is filed under the name uncultured bacterium. Its description in RNAcentral is "partial 16S ribosomal RNA". It matches the Rfam family "Bacterial small subunit ribosomal RNA", at positions 524 to 776 of the family's 1533-position model. The record is from RNAcentral.